Long non-coding RNA from Mya arenaria, 3146 nucleotides. RefSeq lists it as uncharacterized. The transcript is spliced from 4 exons. NCBI's taxonomy places the organism in Eukaryota, Metazoa, Mollusca, Bivalvia, Myida, Myidae. The record is from RefSeq and is a predicted model, not a curated record.
ACUGUCCAUUUUGGUUGUUUUUGCAUUGUGACAUGUAAAAUAAAAUCUCAAUGAGAUUUAUGUCUAAUUUGUUAAUGAAAAUGUUCUUGAAAAGCACUGUAAUUUCUCUAUCAAAAAACAUUUUUGCUAAUUUUUGUUCAAAACUAAAUUUUUAAUAUAUAUAUGCCAAUCAUGAUGUACAAUACCUGACUGAAACUAUUUUCUGUAAUUCAGAAAGUCAACGUCUGCAACUUGCCAAUGUGCUCUUAUCUGACAAUAUCAUCGUCAUACCAUUUGAUGCCAAGUGUACAAUAAGAACUGAAAUGAAAAUUGACAACAGAAGUGUCAUGGUCUUGGUGGAAUAUGCUAUGCUCUUCAUUGACCUCUGUCUAAUAAUGGCUGGUGAUAGAAAACUAUCAGGAAUGCUUUAAGCUGGCAAUGGAGGGAAAUGUAGAAGACACUGAGAAAUCACAAGGUUUCAAACAUCUAGAAUAUGCUCACAGUCAGUCUUCAAGAUACUCACUUUAAUGGUUCCAGUGUGUUUUAGGAGACUUUGUCAGAACAGUACUUUAUACCUACAUACACUGGAGAUAUCAGACCAAGCAGAUAACUACAGAUAUAUUGACACAGAACAUGAAAUUAAUUGCAUAUCCCACACAACAUAAGACUUUAAACUGUUAAAUAGGCAGUGAGGCAUUUGUGUGUAACGUUCAUUAUUUGAAAUGAAAAAGUUUGACUUUGCAUUUAAAAGCCAUUAGCAUUAGAUUUUCCAAAUAUAUAUAUGUUUAUACAGUUUCAACUGUGAUGUAUAUCCAGUUGUACAUGUUUCCUCUAAGGAUUUAAACACUUGAAUGAUAUAGGAAAAUUUAAAUGAUACAUUUAUUCAAACUUAUGAUAAUAUAUAAAACACACAAUACCGUGGUUGAUCAUGUAAACCUUCAUACUAUAUUUUUAUAGAAAUUAAGUGAAUCUUUUGAUAUUUCUGAAUACAUUUAUUUUUACUUUGACUGGCUCAUGUAUAAACACAGAAUGCUACAUAAAGUGUAUACUCCAGUCUAUAUCAUAACAUAAUUGAAAUAGAUAAUAGAUAAUAUUUGCAUGAAACUCUGAACACUUAACCACUAUGGCAAUCUGCACCAGUUAAGAUACUUUUUGUUGAAUAAUGUGUUUUGAUGAGACAAGCUUGUAAAAUAGCUGUAUUUCUGUCAUUUUGUGUAUUUGAAGCAUGUCUGCAAAUGUAGAUUUUAUCAUGUAUUUUGAAUGGAUCUGAAAUACUGUUUAUUAUGCCCCCCUUCGAAGAAGAGGGGUAUAUUGCUUUGCACAGGCAUGUCGGUAUGUCGGUCGGUCGGUCGGUCGGUCGGUCGGUCGGUCCGUCGCUAGACCAAUGCUUGUCCGAGUGAUAACUCAAGAAUCCCUGGACGUAUGGUCAUCAAACUUCACAUGAAGGUUGGGGCUGACCAUUAGAUGACCCCAAUUGAUUUUGGGGGUCAUCGGGUCAAAGGUCAAGGUCACAGUGACCUUUAAUGGUAAAAUAAUUUUAAAGCUUGUCCGAGUGAUAACUCAACAAUGCCUGCACCCAUGGCCCUCAAACUUGGCAUGGAGGUUGGGCCUGACCAGUAGUUGACCCCUAUUGUUUUUGGGGGUCAUCAGGCCAAAGGUCAAGGUCACAGUGACCUUGAAUGGUAAAAGGUUGUCCGAGUGAUAACGUGACAAUGCCUGCACCCAUGGCCCUCAAACUUAACAUGGAGGUUGGGCCUGACCAGAAGUUGACCCCUAUUGUUUUUGGGGGUCAUCAGGCCAAAGGUCAAGGUCACAGUGACCUUGAAUGGUAAAAGGUUGUCCAAGUGAUAACGUGACAAUGCCUGCACCCAUGGCCCUCAAUCUUGACUUGGAGGUUGGGCCUGACCAGUAGUUGACCCCUAUUGAUUUUAGGGGUCAAAGGUCAAGGUCACAGUGACCUUGAAAGCAAACUCGACAAUUCUUGGACCUAUGGUCAUCAAACUUGACAUGAAGGUUGGGCCUGCCCAGUAGAUGACCCCUAUCAACUUUGGGGCUCAUCAGGCCAAGGUCAAUGUCACAGUAACCUUUAACGCAAAAAGUUAACAAAUCUUCCCCCACUGAUUUCUCAACAAUGCCUGAACCUAUGAUCAUUAAACUUGACAUGGAUGUUAAGCCUGACCAGUAGAUCACCCUUAUUGAUUUUAGGAUUCAUAGAGCCAAAGGUCAAGGUCACAGUGAUUUUGAAUGGUAAAAGGUUGUCAGAGUGAUAACUCAGCAAUGCCUGAACCCAUGGCCUUCAAACUUGACUUGGAGUUGCAUCUGACUUGUAGAAUACCCCUUAUGAUUUAAGGGGUCAUCAGGUCAAAGGUCAAGGUCACAGUGACCUUGAACAAAAAAAACUUGUCUUGUGAUAGCUUGACAAUGCCUGCACCCAUGGCCCUCAAACUUGACAUUUAGGUUUCUGGUGACCAGCUGGUGACUCUGGAUUUUGAGUUCAUAGAAUCAAAGGUCAUGACGGUCAUAACACACUUUAUCCUCACACUUUAAUGGUCAUAAUCUUAAAACAGCAACAAAUCAGCUGUCAUUUCGGUCCAUGCAUAUUUCAUUCAAUUGUCCAUUUAAUCCUGACAACAUGGCGCAUAGGGGGGGCAUAAUGUUUGACAAACAUCUCUUGUUUAACUGUUAUUACAACGAUUGACACAUUAAAGAUGGAUUUAUGAAUUGUCUUCAUACAAAAAAUCCAACCAGUCAAAAUUGUAUUUUCGAACUGUUUCCCAAUACAAUAAACUCUCAGUCACAGUUUUGAUGCAUAAACGUAUGAACUUUACUCGUUAUUUGAACUAAGGUCGUAUGAACUUUACUCGUUAUUUGAACUAAGGUCGGUUGUUGGUGAUUGGAAUCAGUCAUCAUCAUCAUCAUCAUCAUCAUCAUCAACAUCAUCCUACACAGCCACCACAACCACCACCACCACCAACUUCACCACCUUCAUCAUCAUCCACAUCAUCAAUCAUCAGCAACAUCUACGCAUCAUCAUCUCGACAUGAUCAUUGUCGUCAUCGUCACAUCAUAAUAAGUAUCCUUGCCGUCGUUGCAUCAUCAUUAUUAUUAUCAUCAUGUUAGUCGUCGUCGUCGGAUUAUCAUUAUAAUAAUCAUAAUAUUCGUCUUCG